AUACCCCAUUAUUUGCCCGACCCCUGUCUGCUCAGUUUUAGGUUGGGGUGACCACGGAGUAUAAAAUAACCUCCAUGAAGAAGGGGAUAUUUCCCUUAUUAGAGAACCACACUUCCAAGAACUAAUAAAUUAAUUUUCAAUGACCCGAUACCCGAUAAUCGAUCAACGAACCAAGUUACCCUGGGGAUAACAGCGCAAUCCACCCUGAAAGCCCUUAUUAACAGGUGGGUUUACGACCUCGAUGUUGGAUCAGGGUAUCCCAGUGGUGCAGCAGCUACUGAGGGUUCGUUUGUUCAACGAUUAAACCCU
Molecule: ribosomal RNA, 309 nt
Filed under: Boophis quasiboehmei
Lineage: Eukaryota; Metazoa; Chordata; Amphibia; Anura; Mantellidae
Description: partial 16S ribosomal RNA
Rfam family: Bacterial large subunit ribosomal RNA
Source: RNAcentral